This 497-nucleotide ribosomal RNA is filed under the name uncultured bacterium. RNAcentral describes it as "partial 16S ribosomal RNA". It matches the Rfam family "Bacterial small subunit ribosomal RNA", at positions 28 to 507 of the family's 1533-position model. The record is from RNAcentral.
GAUGAACGCUGGCGGCGUGCCUAAUACAUGCAAGUCGAGCGAACAGACGAGGAGCUUGCUUCUCUGACGUUAGCGGCGGACGGGUGAGUAACACGUGGAUAACCUACCUAUAAGACUGGGAUAACUUCGGGAAACCGGAGCUAAUACCGGAUGAUAUAUUGAACCGCAUGGUUCAAUAGUGAAAGACGGUUUUGCUGUCACUUAUAGAUGGAUCCGCGCUGCAUUAGCUAGUUGGUAAGGUAACGGCUUACCAAGGCAACGAUGCGUAGCCGACCUGAGAGGGUGAUCGGCCACACUGGAACUGAGACACGGUCCAGACUCCUACGGGAGGCAGCAGUAGGGAAUCUUCCGCAAUGGGCGAAAGCCUGACGGAGCAACGCCGCGUGAGUGAUGAAGGUCUUCGGAUCGUAAAACUCUGUUAUUAGGGAAGAACAUAUGUGUAAGUAACUGUGCACGUCUUGACGGUACCUAAUCAGAAAGCCACGGCUAACUACGUG